CCUACGGGAGGCAGCAGUAGGGAAUAUUGCUCAAUGGCGGAAACCCUGAAGCAGCAACGCCGCGUGGAGGAUGAAGGUUUUAGGAUUGUAAACUCCUUUUGUUAGAGAAGAUUAUGACGGUAUCUAACGAAUAAGCACCGGCUAACUCCGUGCCAGCAGCCGCGGGAAUACGGAGGGUGCAAGCGUUAUUCGGAAUCACUGGGCGUAAAGCGUGCGUAGGCGGGGUAAUAAGUCAGUUGGUAAACCCUUGAGUUUAACUACAGAACGGCAUUUGAAACUAGUACUCUGGAGGGUGGGAGAGGUAGGUGGAAUGCUUGGUGUAGGGGUAAAAUGCGUAGAGAUCAAGAGGAAUACUCAUUGCGAAGGCGACCUGCUGGAACAUUACUGACGCUGAGGCACGAAAGCGUGGGGAGCAAACAGGAUUAGAUACCCUAGUAGUC
Molecule: ribosomal RNA, 440 nt
Filed under: uncultured bacterium
Lineage: Bacteria
Description: partial 16S ribosomal RNA
Rfam family: Bacterial small subunit ribosomal RNA
Source: RNAcentral